RNAcentral lists this long non-coding RNA (312 nucleotides) under Manihot esculenta (cassava). RNAcentral describes it as "long non-coding RNA (MESC_LNC006901)". The record is from RNAcentral. Lineage: Eukaryota; Viridiplantae; Streptophyta; Magnoliopsida; Malpighiales; Euphorbiaceae.
GAACAUGCUAAGUCCCUGGAAGCAGAGUUGUCUCGCACUCGAGGGGUUCUCAAGGAAUCUGACGAGAGGGCAGCUGCAGCUGAGGUCCGCUGUGAAGAAGUGUUGAAGCAGCUGUCCUCCAUGGUGGGGACCCUUCGUGAGAGAGAUGAGGCCAUAAGUCAGAGGGACGAGAUCCAUCGUCAGUAUGAGGCCCUGAAGGCUGAUUUCGAAGGAAUUCAGGCUCAUCUUGAUAAGGUGAAGAUUCAAAAGGAAGGGGCCCUAGCUCGGGUGGAAGUUCUCGAGCAGGAGCUGAGCAGGAGUUCUGAUCGUAUC